AGAGUUUGAUCAUGGCUCAGGAUGAACGCUAGCUACAGGCUUAACACAUGCAAGUCGAGGGGCAGCAUGGACCCAGCUUUGCUGGGUUUGAUGGCGACCGGCGCACGGGUGAGUAACGCGUAUCCAACCUGCCCACCACUUGGGGAUAACCUUGCGAAAGUAAGACUAAUACCCAAUGACGUCUCUAGAAGACAUCUGAAAGAGAUUAAAGAUUUAUCGGUGAUGGAUGGGGAUGCGUCUGAUUAGCUUGUGGCGGGGUAACGCCACAAGGCGACGAUCAGUAGGGGUUCUGAGAGGAACGGUCCCCCANAUUGGAACUGAGACACGGUCCAAACUCCUACGGGAGCA
This 348-nucleotide ribosomal RNA is filed under the name uncultured bacterium. RNAcentral describes it as "bacterial SSU rRNA". It matches the Rfam family "Bacterial small subunit ribosomal RNA", at positions 8 to 349 of the family's 1533-position model. The record is from RNAcentral.